Molecule: ribosomal RNA, 670 nt
Filed under: uncultured bacterium
Lineage: Bacteria
Description: bacterial SSU rRNA
Rfam family: Bacterial small subunit ribosomal RNA
Source: RNAcentral
GGCGCACGGGUGCGUAACGCGUAUGCAAUCUACCUAUUGCAGGGGAAUAGCCCAGAGAAAUUUGGAUUAAUGCCCCAUAGUACUAUUGAAUAGCAUUAUUUAAUAGUUAAAGAUUUAUCGGCAAUAGAUGAGCAUGCGUCCUAUUAGCUAGUUGGUGUGGUAACGGCACACCAAGGCUACGAUAGGUAGGGGUCCUGAGAGGGAGAUCCCCCACACUGGUACUGAGACACGGACCAGACUCCUACGGGAGGCAGCAGUGAGGAAUAUUGGACAAUGGGCGAGAGCCUGAUCCAGCCAUGCCGCGUGCAGGAAGACUGCCUUAUGGGUUGUAAACUGCUUUUAUACAGGAAGAAACAUCCCGACGUGUCGGGACUUGACGGUACUGUAAGAAUAAGGAUCGGCUAACUCCGUGCCAGCAGCCGCGGUAAUACGGAGGAUCCAAGCGUUAUCCGGAAUCAUUGGGUUUAAAGGGUCCGUAGGCGGGCUUGUAAGUCAGUGGUGAAAGUCUGUGGCUCAACCAUAGAAUUGCCAUUGAUACUGCUAGUCUUGAAUUAUUAUGAAGUGGUUAGAAUAUGUAGUGUAGCGGUGAAAUGCUUAGAUAUUACAUGGAAUACCAAUUGCGAAGGCAGAUCACUAAUAAUAUAUUGACGCUGAGGGACGAAAGCGUGGG